Molecule: ribosomal RNA, 1365 nt
Filed under: Triticum aestivum (bread wheat)
Lineage: Eukaryota; Viridiplantae; Streptophyta; Magnoliopsida; Poales; Poaceae
Description: partial small subunit ribosomal RNA
Source: RNAcentral
AUGUGUCCGUCCGGGGCCGCGACGGCGGGGCGGAAGCGCAAAGGUGCGUCCGGUCGCCCACCCACCGGCAGCAAGCGCCGGCGGGCCCCUGAACCGGAACCGGCGCAGGAGGCCAGCGGCUGGGCCUCUCUCCCGACCGACAUCGCAGGCCUCGUCUCCGGGCGAUUGCUGGGCGAGGACGUGGUGGACUACCUCACCUUCCGCGCCGUCUGCUCGGGCUGGCGCGCCAGCACGUCCGACCUGGGCAUCCUCGCCCUGAGCAAACCGCAGCUCCGCCCGCGCGGCUGGAUCGCGCUCUGCGACGGAGACGGGGCGCCCCUGGACGGUGCCGGCGAGAUCACCUUGUUCAACACGCGCACGGCGCGGCGCCUGCGCGUCCGCCUCCCCGACCUCCGGUGCCACAGGGUCGUCGGCUUCACCGACGGCCUCGUCAUCCUGCUGCACAAGCGCACCACCGCCGUCCGCGUGGUCCACCCCUUCACCCUCGCCACGGUCCAACUCCCGCCCCUCGCCCCUGCCUUCCGCAGUGCGAUUAAGGACCGAGAAGCUCUGUUCAGCAUGAGCGCCUUCGUCUGCUCUUCACCUACGGCCCCCUUUUCAGUGGUGGCCCGUUUCCCUUGGAGACCCAUGGUGCUCUGGACACAGCCAGGCCGGCUGAGGUGGGAGGUCAUUCACCAUGGCAUGGUGGAGCUUCAGAACUUGUUGCCCUUCCAAGGCAUGCUCUUCGCGAUCACCAAGUGGAGGGAGGAGAUAGUAAUGGUGUACCCUCCACGCAAAAUCUCCAUGGCCUACUCUUCGCUAGCCGACCCGUCGAUAUGCCGCGAGUACCUCGUGGAGGUUGCCGGGCGGAUGAUGCUCGUGCUGCAGCUUGGAAACGAUGACAGGGCAUGCCCAAAGUAUGCCUUCAGGAUCUUCGAGGUGGACAUCUGGCGCCAGAAGCUGCUGCCCAUCUGCAAUCUUGGUAGCCGGGCUUUGUUUCUCAACAGUGACAGAUGCCUGUGUGUCCCGACCAUGAGCUUGCCAUCUCUCUGCAGCAAUUCGGUUUAUUUCUCUCUGCCAAGCAGCCCCGCUGUGAUGCAGUCUCUGUCGAGUGUAUUGUCCGAGGACCUAGCGGCGCUGUGCCAGAUACACGACAUGAAGGAGAAGACUCGCCCGUCUGUGCGACCUUUCACCAUUGCUCAUCAUCUUCUCACGUAUUGCAAUCAUAUGGAGUGGGCGAGGGGGCUCAUGUUUCAUGAGUACCACUAUAUACCAGACUCAUUCCAGGAACUAAAGAAGAAAAUAAAGGCACACUGUUCUCAAGUGCACAUUCCGCGUACUGGAAGUGGAACAGGAGGUUCAAAGGCAAAACGUUGCCAUAAUUAA